RNAcentral lists this microRNA (22 nucleotides) under Rhipicephalus microplus (southern cattle tick). RNAcentral's name for it is "rmi-miR-5316a". Lineage: Eukaryota; Metazoa; Arthropoda; Arachnida; Ixodida; Ixodidae. The record is from miRBase by way of RNAcentral.
UCACCGGCGCUUUUUCGACGAG